RNAcentral lists this ribosomal RNA (870 nucleotides) under Hepatozoon canis. RNAcentral's name for it is "bacterial SSU rRNA". It matches the Rfam family "Eukaryotic small subunit ribosomal RNA", at positions 13 to 873 of the family's 1831-position model. The record is from RNAcentral. Lineage: Eukaryota; Apicomplexa; Hepatozoidae.
CCUGCCAGUAGUCAUAUGCUUGUUUUAAAGAUUAAGCCAUGCAUGUCUAAGUAUAAGCAAAAAUACAGCAAAACUGCAAAUGGCUCAUUAAAACAGUUAUUGUUUACUUGAUAAUAAUUUUUACAUGGAUAACCGUGGUAAUUCUACAGCUAAUACAUGAGCAAAAUCUAAACUUUAUUAGAAGAGACGCAUUUAUUAGAUAAAAAGCCAGUUCAUGCUUUUACAGUAUGAAAAUUGGUGAUUUAUAAUAACUUAGCAAAUCGCAAAGUGAAAACAGGCGAUAAAUCAUUCAAGUUUCUGACCUAUCAGCUUUCGACGGUAUGGUAUUGGCUUACCGUGGCAGUGACGGUUAACGGGGGAUUAGGGUUCGAUUCCGGAGAGGGAGCCUGAGAAACGGCUACCACAUCUAAGGAAGGCAGCAGGCGCGCAAAUUACCCAAUUCUAACAGUUUGAGAGAGGUAGUAACAAGAAAUAACAAUACAAGGCAGUUAAAAUGCUUUGUAAUUGGAAUGAUAGAAAUUUAAACCCUUUUAAAAGUAUCAAUUGGAGGGCAAGUCUGGUGCCAGCAGCCGCGGUAAUUCCAGCUCCAAUAGCGUAUAUUAAAAUUGUUGCAGUUAAAAAGCUCGUAGUUGAAGUUCUGCUGAAAGUAACCGGUCUGCUUUUAAUAAAAGUGGUAUCUUGGUAUGUAUUUAGCAAUGAUGUCCUUUGAAGUGUUUUUUACUUUAUUGUAAUAAAGCAUAUUCAGGACUUUUACUUUGAGAAAAUUAGAGUGUUUCUAGCAGGCUAACGCUUUGAAUACUGCAGCAUGGAAUAAUAAGAUAGGAUUUUAGUUCUACAUUAUUGGUUUUAAGAGCUAAAUUAAUGAUGAUA